GCUUGAGUGGCUCAGUUGGUUAGAGCGUCGGUCUCAUACUAAGCGUCAGUGUGAGUGAGCUUUGGUUCACGUAAUCCGAAGAUCAUGGGUUCGACUCCCUUCUCGAGCA
Irpex rosettiformis is the source of this 109-nucleotide non-coding RNA. The record is from the annotation of a GenBank genome assembly. Lineage: Eukaryota; Fungi; Basidiomycota; Agaricomycetes; Polyporales; Irpicaceae.